Molecule: long non-coding RNA, 3175 nt
Organism: Equus caballus (horse)
Lineage: Eukaryota; Metazoa; Chordata; Mammalia; Perissodactyla; Equidae
Source: RefSeq, a predicted model, not a curated record
UAAAGGUUGGUACCUGUGCCCGUUGCUCCUCGUGUUUUCUAAGGACUUUGCAGGAGAUACAUUGCAUUGCACGUUGGGCAAGUCGAUUAUACGGGAAGUCCCUGCUCAGCCAGCCUCGGCCCAGGGGAAGGAUGGACGCUGGCAUCUGUGGACUCUUACUAUGCGGCUGAACCGUUUGGAAUUGCUGUAAUAGGUUUCAAGGGGACAGAGGCUUUCACGUGCCCAGCCCACUCCAGCCCGGAGCAGGGCAAUAUUUCAUGUGGGGACCACCAAACACACCUGGUCAGAGCCCAGCGCCCAGGAAACUCUACCUGCCCUGGUGGUGUGUGAUCCAGGGAGAGUCCAAACGUCUCUGGACAAAGUCACCUUGUUGUCUGCUUACAAAGGUUCAGAGGAGCCUGGAUUCCUUUCUGACACCUUGUGAAGAUCUUUUUCCUGCAAACAAUACCAAAAUCCUCAGAAAACCCCUUCAGAAACAGCAGAAGUGUCUCCAUGAUGCCAAACAUCUGGGUGAAAAUCACAAAGCUUUAGUGAAUUCUUUGUGAAGACUUUUCUUCGUCCAUCCCGUCAUUCAUUUAUUCAACAAAUGUUUAUUGGGUGUUUAUUGUAGACAUGAUCUUACUGCCAAAGAACUUAGAAGGAGAGAAAGUUAUGCACACAUGUUAAUAUUAUUACAGAAGAAAGAAACUGGAGAGUGCCACAAGAGAGACGUAAAGAGACUAUCACACCUGAGCAGCUUACUCGUGCAUAGCUGGGAGAUUGGGGUUGCCUUCUGGACCAGAUGGCGUUUGGCUGAGCUUUAAACUGAGCGUUUUCAUUCUACCUUGAGUUUGAGGCUAUGGAACAGAGACACUUUGGGUUGCUCUGUAAGACUGGGAAGAGGAGCGGUGAGCUCACUCCAGAGUGAGAAGAGAUCGCCUUAUUAAACAAUAGCCUAAGAUGUGAGGCUGUAAAGGUAGAUGCAGAUGUAAAUGUCAGAAUAAAGACUUAACAGUACACAGAAGAAAGAGAAGUAGCGCGUAGAACGCUAUGGCAGCAGGAAAGGUGGGGAAGCAAGAAGAGGCUUGGAUUAUGACCGUGAGGGUGAAGGUCAGGGGUGGGUGUGCAUUUCAGAUCUGCCGGCUGUAGAACCAAUACCACUUCUGUGCUAUUUGAAUGUGAAUAUUGAUGCUUUUCCUGGUGCCAUAAACCAAAUUAGCGUGUACAUGAGAAGGAGUGUGUGUGUGAGGGAUAAGAAUAUAUUCAAUUUGGUGCACACUGAGCUUGAAGUGUAGACAGGAUAUCCAAGUAGGAAUGUGGAUGUCAGUGCUGGAGAGAUGUCAGGGUGGGGCCGUGGAUCUGGGAGUUCUGAAGAGGAGAUAACAGAAGCCCAGUGAUUGUCAGGCGAGUGUAUGUUGAGAGAGAAGAGAGAAGAUGGUCAAAAUGUUUGAUGACUUAAACACCAGGACACUUGGAAAAGUAUGGAUGUUCUAUGCGUCUAAACCAUCUGAAUAUCUACUUGAAUUUUCACUUUUCAUCUACAUGGUUUAAUAGAUGGGAAUAUUUAUAUUUAAACUUUUUGGUUAUUUUAAAAUUUAUUAUUAUAUGUGGGAAGCUGUGGUGAUUUCUAAAGUAUGAGUUUGGUGCCAGGGUCUAUAUGUAAUAAUCAUAUCCUUCCUCAAUCUUUAUUCUUUUAGUUUGAAAAGUCCAAACAAAGGGGAUUUCUUUAACUGGUCUCUUCAGUUAUGGACAUAAUUCAUUCAGUCCCCUGUGCCUUGGUUAUAUCUGAGCAUAUUUUGAUGUCUUGUGUCUUGGUCUUCAAGUAUGCUCAUUAAAACUCUACCUGACUUCUUUAUUGGAGGUUUUUGCAAGCUGCUCUGAAAAUUCUUUUUUGGUGAACAUUAGUUAAUAUUGAUCACAGGAAACAUUUUAGAACAGAUUUUUAUAUCAUUUGUGUUGGUUAGCUCUUGGACCACAUGACAUUUCAAAAUCCAAAGUCAGAAAAGAAUCUGGACUUCUUGUGCAAAUCUUCACAUAAGCCCACACUUCCUUUGUUGUGCAUUGAUGUCCUCCAUAAAGAUGUAGUAAAUAGUCUUAUUAUGUAAAGCUAUCUCAUUCAAGAGAGUUUAUAUGAUUUUGUGUGUGUGUGAAAGCAGAAAGCAGAGUGCUUCAUAUAUAGUUGGCAUUUAGUAAGUGCUAGUUCAAGUUAAAUUUAAAGUGAGCUUAAAAGGAGGUUGGCACCAUCAAUACUUAGAAAUCUAAGUCCUGUCCAUCUUGGUAAACAGAGCAGCAGAUCGCUGCUGAGGAAUGGACCAGUGGGAUGAAUAAUUUCCCUGGUUAGAAAACCAUUUUCAUAAUGAUAGGUCAUCUCUGCAAGGAAAUGUGCCUGUGUAAACAAGAUAAUUCCAGUCAAAACGAUAAGUAAUAUAUUUGUGUUUGAAGCCCUGGAAAUAAUACUAAAGAGAUUCACUUACAGGUUUUCAACACGUUUCAUAGAUGGCAAGAUAAAAGGGAAUACUACAUAUGUGAGUACACUUUAUCUCCUAGGAUGUGUUAAUGAACAAGGCUCUACAAAUUAUACUUUUGGGAGAAUACCUGUAAUUUUGAGAGGCGAAGAAAGUCAUUCAGCCUAGGAACUGGGAGAUAGGCUAAAGGAGUAUUUGCAGUGAACCCCUCUAGCCUUGUGCAUCUACAAAGCAUAUCUGGGGCAAUUUAGAACCUUUCCUGCCAGAAAUGAUAAAAAAUUAAAGCAAUUUUAUUUAUGCAGAAUUGAGAUAAAAUUGGCUUUUUUGAGAACUUAUUGCCCUCUCAGUUUACUAUGUUGCUUUAAUAAGACAAGUAUAAUUUCGAACUUUUUGUCAGUAGCUUUAAAAAAGAAAAGAAUCCUUCAAUGAUACAAUGAUAGUGUCUUCCCACCUACAUGUCCUCAGCUCAACUUACAGAUCUGAGGGUGUUUAUACAAAACACAAAAGAACGUAAACAUUUGAGAGGCCUUGUUAAUGACGGUAUAGAAACAAAUAAGUUUCACCCAAAAUUGCACAGUAUAUAUAUUUUUAUGACUCCAGUCUCUCUGCCUCCAUCUUCACAGAGUCGUCUUUUCUGUGUCUCUGCGGACAAUAAUUUUAAACCACUUGUCUGCUCUCAAGGAAUGAAUGAACCCUUUAUAGGACUAAACUCUCUUCCCUUUCUCUGUACG